Molecule: ribosomal RNA, 119 nt
Filed under: Pteropus alecto (black flying fox)
Lineage: Eukaryota; Metazoa; Chordata; Mammalia; Chiroptera; Pteropodidae
Source: RNAcentral
GUCUACGGCCGUGCCACCAUGAACAAACCCGAUCCCAUCUGAUCUCAGAAGCUAAGCAGGGUUGGGCCUGGUUAGUACUUGGAUGGAAGACCACCUAGGAAGAUCAGGUGCUGUAGGCA